This 465-nucleotide ribosomal RNA is filed under the name uncultured bacterium. Its description in RNAcentral is "partial 16S ribosomal RNA". It matches the Rfam family "Bacterial small subunit ribosomal RNA", at positions 29 to 507 of the family's 1533-position model. The record is from RNAcentral.
AAUGAACGUUGGCGGCGGGGAUUAGGCAUGCAAGUCGAGCGAGAACCGCGCAAGGGGGGACAGCUGCGUAAGGGGCGGUAAUGGGUAGAUUAUCUGCCCUCAGGUCGGGGAUAGGUGGGGGAAACUGCAGGUAAUACCGGAUAACAUCUCCGUAUCGAAGGUGUGAUUCCGCCUGAGGAUUAGUCGGCAUACUAUUAGCUAGUUGGUGGGGUAAUGGACUACCAAGGCAUUGAUGGGUAGCAGGUGUGAGAGCACGACCUGCGUCAUUGGGACGGAGACACUGAGACGACACCGACGGGCAGCUGCAGUCGAGACUCUUCGGUAAUGGGAGCAAGGCUGAACGAGCGACGCGGCGUGUGGGAUGAAGGCCUUCGGGUUGUAAACCACUGUCAGAGGGGAAGAAAUGCAGGUGGGUUCUCCCAUCUGUUUGACAUAGCCUCAGAGGAAGGACCGGCUAAGUUCGUG